GCUCACAGUUAGGUUUCCCACAACCAAAUGGAAUAGCAGUGCAUCACUCAUGUACUUAAAUCUCUAUGAUGUGAAUAUUAAUGGUAGGAUACCUGAAUCAUUUAGCCAUCUAACUUCACUUCAUAUGUUGAACAUGGGUAAUACUAAUCUGUCAGGGCCCCUUCCUAAACCUCUAUGGAAUCUCACCAACAUAGAGAGUUUGUUCCUUGGUAGUAACCAUCUUGAAGGACUAAUUUCCCUGUUAUCGAGAUUUGAAAAGCUCAAGGAAUUAUUACUUGGAAAUAACAAUUUUGAUGGCCGACUUGAGUUCUUAUCCUUUAACAGAAGCUGGAUGCAACUCGAUACCUUAGAUUUUUCGUCCAAUUACCUAACUGGUCCAAUUCCAUCCAACGUAAGUGGACUGCGAAACCUAAAACAGCUCUUCUUGUCAUCAAGCUACUUGAAUGGGACUAUACCUUCCUGGAUAUUCUCCCUUCCUUCACUGAUAGCGUUAGACUUAAGCAAUAACACUUUCAGUGGAACAGUUCAAGUCCAAAACAUUAAAUGUCGUUACUCUAAAUCAAAAUAAGCUGGAAGGUCCUAUUCCAAAGUCACUCCUAAACCAGCAGUUCCUACUAGGUCUUCUCUUUUCACACAAUAACAUCAGUGGACGUAUUGCUUCAGCUAUCUGCAAUCUGAAAACAUUGCAAGUAUUAGAUUUGAGAAGUAAAAUUUUGGAGGGAACAAUCCCACAAUGUUUGGGUGAGAUGAGUGCAGUUGAGAUUUUGGAUUUGAGCAACAAUAGUCUUAGUGGGACAAUUAAUACAACUUUUAGUAUUCGAAACCGACUCAACAUCAUUAAAUUGCAUAGUAAUAAGCUAGAGGGGAAAGUUUCACAAUCUUUGAUCAAUUGUAAAUAUUUAGAACUUCUUGAUUUAGGUAACAAUGAGUUGAAUGACACGUUUCCAAAAUGGUUGGGAGAGCUACCUCAUUUGCAGAUCUUAAAGUUGAGAUCAAAUAAGUUCUAUGGCCCUAUAAGGAUUGACAACUUGUUUGCUCAAAUUCGAGUCAUAGAUCUCUCAUCCAAUGGAUUUAGUGGAGAUUUACCAUUGAGUCUUUUUCAGAAUUUUCAAGCCAUGAAAACAAAUGGUGAGAACAAUGGAACCCGAGAGUAUGUAGCAGAUACAUUUUUUUUUUACUUACACUAAUUCUAUGAUAGUGACAACAAAGGGACUGGAUCAUGAACUUCCUGGAGUUUUGACUACACAAAUAAUUAUCAAUUUCUCAAUGAAUAGAUUUGAAGGUCAUAUUCCAAGCAUUAUUGGAGAUCUCGUUGGACUUCGUACCUUGAACUUAUCUCAUAAUGUCUUGGAAGGUCAUAUACCAGCAUCAUUGCAAAAUUUAACUGUACUCGAAUCGUUGGAUCUCUCAUCUAACAAUAUCAGUGGAGAAAUUCUGCUGCAGCUUGCAUCCCUCACAUUUCUUGCAGUCUUAAAUCUCUCUCACAAUUAUCUUGUUGGAUGCAUCCCCAAAGGAAAACAAUUUGAUACGUUUGAGAACAGUUCAUACCAAGGAAAUGAUGGAUUACGAGGAUUGCCACCCUCAAGAGAUUGUGGUCGUGAUGAUAGGGUACCACAAGAGACAAUUCCAGUUGAGCUAGAUCAAGAAGAAGAAGAAGAAGAUUCACCAAUGAUCAAUUGGCAGGCGGUUCUUAUGGGUUAUGGUUGUGGACUUGUUAUUGGACUGUCUGUAAUAUACGUAAUGUGGUCAACUCAAUAUCCAGCAUGGUUUUCGAGGAUGGAUUUAAAAUUGGAACACAGAAUUACUACGAGAAUGAAAAAGUACAAGAAAAGAUAUUAGUGAGUAGCGACCCCCAGGUAUUCAACUUGAUCUUUAUCUUUCUUAAGAUCAUUUUAUAUGUCAAUGUGUUUUCAACCUCCUUCAUCGUCAGAGCUCUUACCUUAAUUCUUUAUUUUUGAAAAUUGCAGGAUUCAAGUCUACUGAGUUGUGGGGGAUGCAGAUAAAAGUCUUUAUUUUUCAUAGUUUGUGGUGUCUCCAUAAAGUAUUUGUUAUACUAUGAAUAAAGACAUGACUUUUCUUCCUUUGAGACUCAACCAGAUUUUGUUUUCAAAUGUCUAUGGCAUAUAGAAAUAAACGGAAAUCGGACACAAACUUGAAUCUUUAAAUCAUUCAAUCAGAGUAUUUCACUCAACUCUUUCACAUAACACAAAUAUAGAACACUCGAAUUUAAGUUCAGAAACAUAAAAAUCUGUAGUUACAGAUUUCAGAAAUAUUCUUUUACAGACACAUGAUGGUCCUUUAUCAAAAGAUCGAAGGAACAUCAGGAAACCAUGGACCAAAGUUGCAGUCUGCUAUCUUUAACUUUUUUCAUUGAAGCAGUAGCAAUUAACAUAUAAUCUAGAUUCUAUUCAACCUCCUUUAUGAUAUUAGUAAGAUAAAUGAAACAGUGCUAAAUCAAGAAAUGAAGAAAGCUGUAAAGUAUUCCGCUGCUGCUUAUUAGAAUAGGCUCAGACUCUUUUGAGACAUUAGAUGGUGAACUGAUCAAAUGGACGAAAAAGGCCUAUUAUUGUGUUAAAAGGUGUAUUAGAAUAAUCUCAUAUCCAUUGGGAGGACUGUUUUGAGCCAUUAGAACCAGGUAAAAGAAUAAGUUCUGUCACAACAAAUUCUAGGAAAUAGACGCAUUAUUGAGCUUAUGCUCGAAAUCAAUUAAGGGUACGAAAAGUUCUGUCACAACAAAUUCUUAAAAGGGUAUAAUAUGCAUACACUUAUCCUAUCAAAACCUUCUUGCUUUUUUUUUUUUUUUACCUUUAAAGUUAAAGUCUAUACACAAAGUAACACUCUUAUCUUCUUUUUUUCUUAAUGCAAGACUUUGUUCAUACACCCAACCAAUUAUCAAACUACUUGAUUCAGAACAAUACAUGCCAUCCUGGAUAUCCUCCGUUCCAUCACUAAACUUUGAGGACUAUAACAAUGUGUUUCUUCCGUUCUACUCUCCGAGAAGACAAGAACAGCAGUCUCACUCUCACACUCACCUAUAAGUUCCAGGAAGAUACAAAAAAAUGUUUAAUCAGUGGUAUUGAAACUAUGAAGAACAUGCCAUGUAUGGACUUCUGCACUGUCUUCCAUCAGCAGGUCAAUUCUUGUGGAAAAUUGGCUCGAGCUGGUGCACUAUGUAGGCGCUGUAUUCAGAGUAGAUUUCCAGUCUAACCUUAAUGCAUUAGCAAAGUGACACUCCUAUUCUUAAGGUAUAAAGUUGUUAUGUUUCUUUCAAAGUUUACACACUCCUAUCCUAAACAAUUUUGUUGUGUGGUGGUCCUAUUCCUGGAAUCCAAUUAAGUUGGCAAAACAAAGAUAUUUUUUUGUCGAUAAUAACGUUGCACACAAAAUGCAUGUGUAAUGUGUUAUAUACAAGUGGUGGGACUUUGUGAUUUGACUUAAGAAUGUGAACUAUUGAUAGUUUCCGGCAUUCACUUGUGUGACACAUUGAAUGGGCAUAUGUGAUUCACAACUUCAAAUUGACUGAAAAUGACUACGUAACCAAUAGUAAAAUUCUCUUUGCUUAAUUUGUGUUAUAUAUACCUCAUCAAAAUUGUUGAAUAAACACACAAAGCAAAAUAUUUCUUGAUUUCUUCUCUACCAACUUAAUUUAGUUUUGAUCAUUUUUUAGUGCAGAAAUGGAUUGUGUAAAACUUGUAUUGUUUAUGCUAUAUACCUUUCUCGGUCAACUUAUUUUCUCCUUAUCCUUACCUCAUUUGUGCCCCGAAGAUCAAGCUCUUGCUCUUCUACAAUUCAAGAACAUGUUUCCCAUUAAUCCUAAUGCUUCUGAUUAUUGUUUUAAAUUUAAAGAGUUUCAUUCAUAUCCGAAAACUCUUACAUGGAAUAGUAGCACAGAUUGUUGCUCAUGGGAUGGAGUACAUUGUGACAAGAUGACGGGACAGGUGAUUGAGCUCAACCUCACUUGCAGCGGACUUCAAGGCAAGUUUCAUUCCAAAUUGUAGCCUCUUUCAACUUUCCAAUCUCAAAAGGAUUGAUUUGUCUUUUAAUAAUUUCACUGGAUCGCUCAUUUCACCUAAAUUUGGUGACUUCUCCAGUUUAACACAUCUUGAUCUAACAGUUACAAGUUUUUCGGGUCAAAUCCCUUCUGAAAUAUCUCAUCUUUCAAAAUUACACGAUCUUCGUAUCUCUAAUGUUUAUCCAUAUGAGCUUAGAUUCGGACCUCACAAUUUUGAAUUGCUCCUUAAGAACUUGACCCAAUUAAGAGAGCUCCACCUUCACGAUGUGAACAUCUCUUCCACCAUUCCUCUGAAUAUCUCUUCUUAUUUAACAAAUCUACGGCUUCCAUUAACAGAGUUACGUGGGGUAUUUCCCGAAAGAGUUCUCCACCUUUCCGAUUUAGAAUUCCUUGAUUUAUCAGAAAAUCCCCAGCUCACUGUUAGGUUUCCCACAACCAAAUGGAAUAGCAGUGCAUCACUCAUGUACUUAAAUCUCUAUGAUGUGAAUAUUAAUGGUAGGAUACCUGAAUCAUUUAGCCAUCUAACUGCACUUCAUGACUUGAACAUGGGUUAUUCUACUCUGUCAGGGCCUAUUCCUAAACCUCUAUGGAAUCUCACCAACAUAGAGAGUUUGUUCCUUAGUGAUAACUAUCUUGAAGGACCGAUUUCCCAGUUCUCGAGAUUUGGAAAGCUUAGGGUGUUAUACCUUGGAUAUAACAACUUCGAUGGCUGACUUGAGUUCUUAUCCUUUAACAGAAACUGGACGCAACUUGAAGUAUUAGAGUUUU
This 4780-nucleotide long non-coding RNA is filed under the name Solanum tuberosum (potato). Its description in RNAcentral is "long non-coding RNA (STUB_LNC001200)". The record is from RNAcentral. Lineage: Eukaryota; Viridiplantae; Streptophyta; Magnoliopsida; Solanales; Solanaceae.